RNAcentral lists this small RNA (564 nucleotides) under Pongo abelii (Sumatran orangutan). Its description in RNAcentral is "retained intron". The record is from RNAcentral. Lineage: Eukaryota; Metazoa; Chordata; Mammalia; Primates; Hominidae.
GUAGCGAGUCUGCCCCAAACCAGCCGCGCGCUUCUGCCCUUGUCGGUUUAGGAAACUGGGAAGUUCCCUGGUCCUGCUCCCUGGCCCGCAGAGGGGACACUGAGGCCCACGGUAGGUGGUCCUCUCCUCACCCGAGUCUCCACACAGACACCAUGGCCGAGCCUCUGAAGGAGGAAGACGGCGAGGACGGCUCUGCGGAGCCCCCCGGGCCCGUGAAGGCCGAACCCGCCCACACCGCUGCCUCUGUAGCGGCCAAGAACCUGGCCCUGCUUAAAGCCCGCUCCUUCGAUGUGACCUUUGACGUGGGCGACGAGUACGAGAUCAUCGAGACCAUAGGCAACGGGGCCUAUGGAGUGGUGUCCUCCGCCCGCCGCCGCCUCACCGGCCAGCAGGUGGCCAUCAAGAAGAUCCCUAAUGCCUUCGAUGUGGUGACCAAUGCCAAGCGGACCCUCAGGGAGCUGAAGAUCCUCAAGCACUUUAAGCACGACAACAUCAUCGCCAUCAAGGACAUCCUGAGGCCCACUGUGCCCUAUGGCGAAUUCAAAUCUGUGUAAGAAGCGGGAU